GACAGGGGGCGCAAAGCGCGUGCGCAGACUCCUCCCGAGCUCCCGAAUCGUGGAGCCACGGGAAGGGCUGGUACCAAUGCGCUUGCGCAGACUUCUUGACGCCUCCGAGUUCCUAAAUCCUGGGUGAAAGGCCUUGAAGCCGCCAAUGCGCGUGCGCAGCCUCGCCUCGGACCCCUGAGUCGCUAGAAGACGCUGGAAGGGCUGCAGCUUAUGCGCGUGCGCAACUUCUUACCCUUCCCCCAGCUCCAAACUCCUGGGCAAGAGUCCUUAAAGUGACCCAGCACCCUGGUCCGAGGACUACAGAACAGUGCUGAAAUGCCUGAGUGACUCUUCCUGCUAUUCUGACUAAGACAAGCUGAACAUCUUUAGAGCAUUCACUUUGGACUGAUGGUUCUGUCAGUGAAUGCGCCUAGUCAUGGAGUAGCUUGUUUUGUUGCUGCUUCUUCAGUUCACAUGGAUCAUCCCAGGCUUCUCCAGGAUGUCAUUGUUUAUGGCACAGUCACGUGCACCCAACCCUCUGAGCUCAUGUUGGUCUGAUCAGCCUCAGUCAGACACACUGGACUUUGAUGCCAAUAUAGUGAUGUCACUUUGGUCCUCUUGGAGAAAGAAGGACUACAACCAUUCCAUUGCACUCAUGGGCCACAGUUUUUUUUAUCCAUUGCUUCAUUAAUGGGCAUCUAUGGUUUUUCCAAUGUUUUUCUACCACAAAAAGUCUGCUAUUAAAAUUUUGGUGUAUAUGGGGACCUUCUUCUUAUCAAUGGCUUUCUUGGGGUAUACACCUGUUAGUGGAAUCUCUGGGUCAAAGGGUAUGGACAUCUUAGUCACUUUAUCUCCAUAAUACCAAAUUGCUUUCCAAAUGAUGGUAUCAAUUCCCAGAGCCACCAACAAUGUACCAGUGUGCCUGUCUUCCCACAACCCCACUAACAUUGACUUUUUGUCAUCUUUGCCAGUUGGCAGGAUUUGUGAGGUAACUUCUCAGAGUGGCUUUCAUGUGCAUUUCUCUUAUUAUUAGGGAUUUGGAGUGCCUUUUCUUUUUUAAAUAAUAAACACUUUUAUUUAUAGUUUUGAGUUCCAGAUUUUCUCCCUCUUUCCCUCCCUCCCCUCCC
Long non-coding RNA from Dromiciops gliroides (monito del monte), 1106 nucleotides. RefSeq lists it as uncharacterized. The record is from RefSeq and is a predicted model, not a curated record. The transcript is spliced from 3 exons. Lineage: Eukaryota; Metazoa; Chordata; Mammalia; Microbiotheria; Microbiotheriidae.